CUUCAAUAAUUCAAUUUAUCACAUUCAUUCUUCUCAUAAAUAUAAAAGUCGGUAGUUUUGUAAUUUCUUUGUGGCAAAAGAUGAAAUAAACAAACAUUUAUUUUAAAUUGUUGAGUUAUGAUGAACUUUUUAACACAACAUUUUUGAAUUUUUGCCUGGGAUUUAGCCGACAAAUUCCACCGAUCAAUUCAUUUGAAAUGUUAUCAAGUAUGCUCUGAAUGAAUCUACAAGCCAACCUCCCUGAAGCAAAUCGUGGACACAAGUGACGUAUCUGUGGAAUAAUAAUUUAGAUGUUGACAAUAAUUUGAUACUGAAACCCGAAGUGAAAGAGUUGAUUAUUUUGAUCAUUUGAUGCUCGCGCUGUGAUCUAAAAAAGUAAAUUUUGCUGUGGUGUGACAACUUGCCUUAAUUAAAAACUAAAAUUGAACAAAAUGCAGAAAUUUCUAGUUUAUGCCAUCUUUUUUGC
Contarinia nasturtii (swede midge) is the source of this 466-nucleotide long non-coding RNA. RefSeq lists it as uncharacterized. The record is from RefSeq and is a predicted model, not a curated record. Lineage: Eukaryota; Metazoa; Arthropoda; Insecta; Diptera; Cecidomyiidae. The transcript has 3 exons.